UAUAUUUAGGUGUAUGAUGCACAAAGAUUUUUGAUAUCUUAGGGAAUAGUUUAAAUCUAUUAAAUGUAA
Molecule: transfer RNA, 69 nt
Filed under: Conanalus pieli
Lineage: Eukaryota; Metazoa; Arthropoda; Insecta; Orthoptera; Tettigoniidae
Description: tRNA-Gln
Source: RNAcentral